GCCGUGGUAGCUCAGUGGUAGAGCACUUCGCUGAAAACGAAGGGGUUUCGGUGGUUCGAUUCCACUCCGCGGCA
This 74-nucleotide transfer RNA is filed under the name Candidatus Pacearchaeota archaeon. RNAcentral's name for it is "tRNA-Phe". It matches the Rfam family "tRNA". From Rfam's summary of the family: Transfer RNA (tRNA) molecules are approximately 80 nucleotides in length. Their secondary structure includes four short double-helical elements and three loops (D, anti-codon, and T loops). The record is from RNAcentral. Lineage: Archaea; Nanobdellati. RNAcentral also lists the same sequence under 1 other name.